GGAUUAGUGGCGAACGGGUGAGUAACACGUGGGCAAUCUGCCCUGCACUCUGGGACAAGCCCUGGAAACGGGGUCUAAUACCGGAUAAUACCUUCCCUCGCAUGGGGGUGGGUUCAAAGCUCCGGCGGUGCAGGAUGAGCCCGCGGCCUAUCAGCUUGUUGGUGAGGUAGUGGCUCACCAAGGCGACGACGGGUAGCCGGCCUGAGAGGGCGACCGGCCACACUGGGACUGAGACACGGCCCAGACUCCUACGGGAGGCAGCAGUGGGGAAUAUUGCACAAUGGGCGAAAGCCUGAUGCAGCGACGCCGCGUGAGGGAUGACGGCCUUCGGGUUGUAAACCUCUUUCAGCAGGGAAGAAGCGCAAGUGACGGUACCUGCAGAAGAAGCGCCGGCUAACUACGUGCCAGCAGCCGCGGUAAUACGUAGGGCGCAAGCGUUGUCCGGAAUUAUUGGGCGUAAAGAGCUCGUAGGCGGUCUGUCGCGUCGGAUGUGAAAGCCCGGGGCUUAACCCCGGGUCUGCAUUCGAUACGGGCAGACUAGAGUGUGGUAGGGGAGAUCGGAAUUCCUGGUGUAGCGGUGAAAUGCGCAGAUAUCAGGAGGAACACCGGUGGCGAAGGC
This 619-nucleotide ribosomal RNA is filed under the name Streptomyces turgidiscabies. RNAcentral's name for it is "bacterial SSU rRNA". It matches the Rfam family "Bacterial small subunit ribosomal RNA", at positions 89 to 722 of the family's 1533-position model. The record is from RNAcentral. Lineage: Bacteria; Bacillati; Actinomycetota; Actinomycetes; Kitasatosporales; Streptomycetaceae.